RNAcentral lists this ribosomal RNA (253 nucleotides) under uncultured bacterium. Its description in RNAcentral is "partial 16S ribosomal RNA". It matches the Rfam family "Bacterial small subunit ribosomal RNA", at positions 524 to 776 of the family's 1533-position model. The record is from RNAcentral.
UACGUAGGGGGCAAGCGUUGUCCGGACUUACUGGGCGUAAAGCGCGUGCAGGCGGAUUGGUAUGUGCCGUGUGAAAGCUCUCAGCUUGCCUGGGAGAGGUCGCGGUAGACAGCCGAUCUGGAGGCUCGGAGAGGUCAGUGGAAUUCCCGGUGUAGUGGUGAAAUGCGUAGAUAUCAGGAGGAACAUCUGUGGCGAAGGCGACUGCCUGGACCAGCACUGACACUGAGGCACGAAAGCGUGGGGAGCAAACAGG